GAUGAACGCUGGCGGCGUGCCUAAUACAUGCAAGUCGAGCGAACGGACGAGAAGCUUGCUUCUCUGAUGUUAGCGGCGGACGGGUGAGUAAAACGUGGAUAACCUACCUAUAAGACUGGGAUAACUUCGGGAAACCGGAGCUAAUACCGGAUGAUAUUUUGAACCGCAUGGUUCAAAAGUGAAAGACGGUCUUGCUGUCACUUAUAGAUGGAUCCGCGCUGCAUUAGCUAGUUGGUAAGGUAACGGCUUACCAAGGCAACGAUGCAUAGCCGACCUGAGAGGGUGAUCGGCCACACUGGAACUGAGACACGGUCCAGACUCCUACGGGAGGCAACAGUAGGGAAUCUUCCGCAAUGGGCGAAAGCCUGACGGAGCAACGCCGCGUGAGUGAUGAAGGUCUUCGGAUCGUAAAACUCUGUUAUUAGGGAAGAACAUAUGUGUAAGUAACUGUGCACAUCUUGACGGUACCUAAUCAGAAAGCCACGGCUAACUACGUG
Molecule: ribosomal RNA, 497 nt
Filed under: uncultured bacterium
Lineage: Bacteria
Description: partial 16S ribosomal RNA
Rfam family: Bacterial small subunit ribosomal RNA
Source: RNAcentral